GGAUGCGAUCAUACCAGCACUAACGCACCGGAUCCCAUCAGAACUCCGAAGUUAAGCGUGCUUGGGCGAGUGUAGUACUAGGAUGGGUGACCCCCUGUGAUGUCCUCGUGUUGCAUCCC
This 119-nucleotide ribosomal RNA is filed under the name Nicotiana attenuata. Lineage: Eukaryota; Viridiplantae; Streptophyta; Magnoliopsida; Solanales; Solanaceae. The record is from RNAcentral.